UAGUCAAACACUGGAACCAAGCCAAAUGCCCAUCAAUAGGAAAAUAAAGAAAUAAAUUCGUACAGUGGAAUGCGACACAGCAUAAAAAAAAAAUGACCUGCAGGUUUGCAAAACAACAUAAAUGAAUCUCACAGAUAUGUUGAAUGAAAGAAAUCAGACACAAGAGAGUACAUACUAUAUGAUUCCAUUUAUAUGAAGCUCAAAAACAGGCAAAACUCACUGGUGACGUUAUGUCAACGUCUAGUGCGUUGGGGUCCCUGGGUAAGGGUUGCGAAAGAACCAGGACACAGGGGAUGCAGAGCAAAGGCAGCACUUGCAACUGCAUGCUGUCGUUUAUUUUCCACACAGCUAUAUACUUGCAGCAAUCAGAUAAACAUAACGAUGUGUACUUUCAGUACAUAAUGGGAUUAAGCUAACAUCCUUGAAAAAAGAUACACAAGGUUUAUCAAGAACAGAAUGUAUGCUCGCUGAAUUAAAGAAUUCUCUCAGCCACCCUUCCUCUGGAGUCAGCAUGUUCUUGUCCUAAGAAGGAACACCUCUAAUCUAGGCAAGAGCCACUUCUUGCUGAUCCAGGCAUUUAGAACUUGCAACAUGAGAUAAGGGGAAGAGAACAUUUUCUCUUCCUGGCCCAGGCCUGCCUGGCUGUCCUUAACCUCACUGCAGUUCUCAAAUGACCCUGACUCGCAAGGGGCCUACAAGCCUAUACCAUCUCAACGUUAGAAUGCAGAAUAGUGGUUACCUCUGGAGGAGGGAACAGACAGGGAAAGGGCACAAAGGAAUCUAUGGCAGGUCUUCUCUGAGACAGCAUCCAGCAGGAAAAAGAAGACCCUGCCUCAUUGCUUCCAGAGCAAAGCCAAUACUUAGAGCCAAAAACCGAGAAAAAAAAAAUUAGCCGAAGAGCUGAAUCACUUGUCUCACCCAGACAGGGGAAACCCCAUGCCCGCCAUGCUCAGAACUGAUCCAGGUGCCUCAGAAUGCACUGGUUUACUAAACUGGGGAAGCUGGAGAGCUCUCUUCCUGUCCUUUGACUUGACAGUGGCUUACUGUCCCUCCGGUAAGGGGACAGCCCAGCCCUGUUUCACAAUGCCAACUCAUGCCCUCUGCUGGUCAUAAAACAGCACGCUGCCCUAGAGAGAAGACUUACGCAUCAUCCCUGCCAUUCACUUUGCACCCUGGAAGGAACCUAUGCCUCCCAAACGGCACAAAGUUGGAAUCUGAGCUGACCUCACUGAGCCCUCUCCCAAGUGGAAACUUUCUCAUUAAAUGGGAUGGAAGCAGGAGAUGGAACUUAUGCACUUAAUCCUGUACCUACCUCCUGUGAGCUAUGUUGGUUAUUAAUCCAGAGAAGCUGGAAGCCCCCUCCCGCCCCCCCAAAUGGCCUACAGGAGUGAUACGGGUCACAGUGGUGCUGAACACUUGUACCUGCAAUGCAGAUAUUGGCAGUAGGUUGUGAAAGAACUGGAUGAGAGAAGACAAGAAAACUAGCUCAUUGAAUCUCUUGCAAAUGUGCUUCCGAAAAGCUGCCUUUGUCUACAAAGUCAAACAUUGGAACCAGGCCAGUUUGUCUGCUGGUUCACGAGGGAGAGCUCCGGGCAAGGAUAUUUGCCCUUGGGCAGGAACCACUCUUCCUACGGAUGCCGACUCUGGCUUUCUGCCACCACCCCGGGAAGUCCACACUCCAGGUAGAAAUGCCAAAAUGGGCACAUACUUCGGGAAUUUCCAAUAGCUGAAGCUCCUGCUCAGUCCACGAGGCCCGGGCCGUUCUUUGUGUCUCCUUUGGUCAAGACUCUCCUGGUUAUUUCACUUUUUCUUUUGACACAUCACAAGGGGGCAAAUACAGUAUUGCACAACCAGUGGGGGGAAAAAGGCAUGGGAGUUUUCUGGUGGUUUGCUGAAGCUGGCUUUCUUGUAUUACUUGUAUUGGCUGUGUCUCUAAAGUCCAUCUUUUUAGAAGUCAACUCAUUAUGAGCAACCACCUCACAUCCCUGAACCAAAGUUAAAAAUAAAUGUGACAUGGGAUCAGGCUUUGAUGCAGGAGCUUCAAUAUGAGUUAACCGCUCUCCUCAGAAGAGCCAUCAUUGAUCUGUGCUUUCAUGAUUUCGUGGCAAGACCACUUUCGCUCCUGCAAAAUCAUGGUCAAAGAUGUCUUUGAGCAACUGAUCUCGAGUCCCUUGCAUGAGGCUCUACAAAAUCUAAUUUUCUAACCAUGAAAUGCCAGGAGAAUGUUUGCUCCUCCAAACAAAAUCAUUUGUAGCUGCUACUGCUUCUUUCCUUCUCCUUCUUCAAAUGAUGAUAAAUCUCACAUGGCCUACCUACCAUUUUUAUUUUUGCCUUGGGUGCUAGGAAGCUCAGAGUUAAAGUUCCUGCUCAGACUAUUUUAUCCACAUUCCUGAUGGAAUAUUUCAACUACUUUGCUAUAACCAGCUUCUAUUCUAUCUCUUGAAAUUCCUCGUUUUCACUGUGUUUAAAAUUAUAAAAAACCCCGCAUGUCCUUUUUUUUAAUAAAGAGGCAGGAUAAAAUUAGUUAAUUAAAUCUGACUUUGGGGGUAAGCUCCCAUGCCACUUAAAAUAGAAUUGAACACCUAAUGUUCAGUGAAGCUUGGUGAUUGCUAUUGUUCAGAAAGAAUUAGCUCUGGGUGGGGUUUGCGUUACUGAUUUGAAUCUGUUUUCUUGGAGCUGAUUUGAAUUGAUUGGUGAGGCUGAGGGGCAGUCACUUCCUACACUCUUUUGUUUGAAAGGAUUGUGUUUUGCAUCACAGCCCAGGGCGGCAAGCAGGUGCAGAGGCUCAAAACAAUCUUUUCUGCUCUUGGCAAAGAUCUUCUGACAGCUAUACACAUCCAUGUUCUUACCUUUCAGCCAAACCUUGCCACAAGUAACAGCUCUGCGAAAAUCUCAAUAGAACAAAAGGUGUCCAAGCCCUGGGACUUAAAAGAGGUCCACUUCUUAAAACAAUUACCAACUAACAAAGUAGCAGAACAACUGAUAUAUUUGGACUGGGCUCAGGUUCGGCUACAGGGAGGUGGGACGGUUUCUGGUUCAUGGAACGCGGGACAUGUUCCCAGCAUUGUCUUAGGGCCCCGUUAUUUACAAAACCAAUCAACGGCAAUUCAAUCAGUUAGAACCCUCAGUUAAUUGGAGCCUUAUCCACCCCAUUCUCAAAUGUAGGUGCUUUGUUUUUAACAUAAAAAGCCACAUUACAGGAAGUUACAUUUAUGUCUGAGAGGUAACAAAAAUACCAAUAACCAGGGAAUGUCCUUGACUUAACCCAAGUUCUUAUAUAGCUGUCUGUACCCGUACUGCAAAUAGCAUUGCUGUACUGAGCCUGCAGGUGCUAUGGCAUCCUCAGUUCCUAUAGGAAAAAGCAUUUUCUCUCACUAUAAUUUUAACAAGGGUUCAAAAGUGUGUCAACCAAAAUAGAGUGGGUUUCCAUUCAGUUAACACAGAAAGGGCAAGAUGUCAUUGCCAUCUCUUCCAUGAGCACUUUGGCCAAGCAAGCUUUGUGAAAAUGCUUCCUUUCCAAAUGCCUCUCCUUGAGGCAUUAAAAAACAACAAUUAAAACAAAAACAAAACUCAGAAGCCUCCUGUGUGGCCCGAAGGGGUCAAUUCCUUAAGGAAGUAAUUAUGUCCUUCUAGUCAAAGUUACGGAAUAUCUACUCUGUGUUUGGAUGAAGACAGACAGGUACCCACAUAGCACUGCUCUUCAUCCCCGCAGAAGACACGUGGGGCUGAUGGUCCUGGGACCCCUGCAUGGCAGCCAGCAACCGCUAUCAACCCGCGGUGCCCAGAAGACACAAGCAGCUCCAACCUCCUAUACCAGUUGUUCACUGCUCACCUACUAUGUGCCAGGCUGGGAAAACAAACAUGAAUAAGGCACUGUCCUAGCAGAGCCCACAGUCUAAAGGGACAGGCAGACAUACAAACAGACUCCUAGGGGCACCUGGGUGGCUCAGUCAUUGGGCAUCUGCCUUCAGUUUGGGUCAUGAUCCCAGGGUCCUGGGAUCAAGCCUCUCAUCGGGCUCUCCACGCCUGCUUCUUCCUCUCCCACUCCCCCUGCUUGUGUUCCCUCUCUUGCUGUCUCUCUGUCAAAUAAAUAAAUAAAAUCUUAAAAAAAAAAAACAAAACAGAACAGACUCCUAUCUUAGCAGGAAAGUGCUCUGACCAGGAUGGGUCCUGGUAUGGUGUGAGCACCAACAGUGUGGGGCUGAACUCCUGCCUGGCCUGCAACCUGGGGUCAGGAAGCCCUCUUGGAGGCAGAGACUUCGGAUUGAGGCUUAAAUGCACCACAGCAAAGCGCUGAGGUGCACAGGCUCUGGAGGCCGGUGAGGUGGGUUCAAACCCUACUUCUACCACUUUUUAACCAUGUG
This is a long non-coding RNA of Zalophus californianus (California sea lion), 4364 nucleotides long. RefSeq lists it as uncharacterized. The transcript has 3 exons. The record is from RefSeq and is a predicted model, not a curated record. NCBI's taxonomy places the organism in Eukaryota, Metazoa, Chordata, Mammalia, Carnivora, Otariidae.